Long non-coding RNA from Gadus chalcogrammus (walleye pollock), 756 nucleotides. RefSeq lists it as uncharacterized. The record is from RefSeq and is a predicted model, not a curated record. The transcript has 4 exons. Lineage: Eukaryota; Metazoa; Chordata; Actinopteri; Gadiformes; Gadidae.
CCUGACAACCAAAACUAUAUGACAUCAAUUAUCCUCUGUUGGUCAGCCUUCGUCAUUCUCAUCAUUAUUCUGGUCAUUUUUUAUUGGUGGCGGAAAAAGAAGCAUCAUACAGAAAACCUUGAUUCGAAACAGACUACAAACUGUGACCAAGCUGCCGCCAUCUCUUUGAAUGUGAGUCUGUUAGGACCCCCUCCUCUCCCUUUGGAGCCCACUGACAUAGAACUCAAACCCAGAAGCACCUAGGAGGCUCUAUGGGAGAUAUUGACUGUAGGUUUAAACUUCUGCUGCCCCUGAGAUGAACCCCGGUUACUGAGCUGACUCCAAGUGGACCCCUUAAAGCUGUGAACCCCUCUAUUCCUGGCUCACCUCAUCCUGACAGGAAGAGAGGGGGAGGGCUUUAUGACAGCCACAAUGAACAAAGGAGCCCCCUUCAUUCUUCCUCUCACUUUACUUAGAAUGACUUGUAUGUUAAGGUUAAUAUUAGUUAAUGUUACAGUGAAUGUAUUCCAAAAUCACUUAUGUUGAUUUCUCGUUUGAAUGCAUGCUUAUUGUCUUAGUAGAAGGAAUUGUCAUUGUUAGACAAAUAGACAAAUUCCUAAUAUGUGUAAACGUAUUAUGCGAUAAACCUUUUCUGAUUCUGAUUCUGAUGAAUUAGAUAUCACUUAAAUUUCAGAGCCCUUUCUAGAGCCCUCCCUCUCAGGCUUAACUGUCAUCACCUUUAAACCAUUUGCCCUGCUGCUGGUAAUAAAAGUGUAA